This 208-nucleotide ribosomal RNA is filed under the name uncultured bacterium. Its description in RNAcentral is "partial 16S ribosomal RNA". It matches the Rfam family "Bacterial small subunit ribosomal RNA", at positions 568 to 774 of the family's 1533-position model. The record is from RNAcentral.
CAUGUAGGCGGUCCGGCAAGCUUGGUGUGAAAUCCCGUGGCCCAACCACGGAACUGCAUUGAGAACUACUGGGCUAGAGUGAGCGAGGGGGGAGCCGGAAUUCCAGGUGUAGGGGUGAAAUCUGUAGAUAUCUGGAAGAACACCAAUGGCGAAGGCAGGCUUCCAUCGCAUGACUGACGCUGAGGUGCGAAGGUGCGGGGAGCAAACA